This is a long non-coding RNA of Trematomus bernacchii (emerald rockcod), 182 nucleotides long. RefSeq lists it as uncharacterized. Lineage: Eukaryota; Metazoa; Chordata; Actinopteri; Perciformes; Nototheniidae. The record is from RefSeq and is a predicted model, not a curated record. The transcript is spliced from 3 exons.
GCCGUGAAGUUUCAGACCUAGCUCAGGCUAAGAAGCUAAGCUAACAUGCUCACAGUAUUAAGCUAACAACCCAGCUUCCGGUCACUGCUCCUCGUUCCCGGCGUUCUGAAGCAUUAAGAAAAAAAGAUGGCAACCUCCUCCACAACCUUGACUGUAUGGAUAAUCGGAGACAGCUAUGUCCG